AUUCCAAUCGAACUCGGAGAUAGCUGGUUCUCCCCGAAAUAGCUUUAGGGCUAGCCUCAUAUUAGAUACCCGGAGGUAAAGCACUGAAUGGCCUAGCGCCCGAGAGGGUAGCGAAGCCUAUCAAACUAAGAAUGCCGGAGUAUUGAUGUAUGGGAGUCAGACAGUGUGAGAUAAAUCUCAUUGUCAAAAGGGAAACAGCCCAGAUCUACAGCUAAGGUCCCAAAUUGUAUCUAAGUGGAAAACGAUGUGGAAAUACGCAGACAACCAGGAUGUUGGCUCAGAAGCAGCCACUCAUUUAAAGAGUGCGUAAUAGCUCACUGGUCGAGCGUCUCUGCGCGGAAAAUUUAACGGGGCUAAGAUACAAACCGAAGCUUAGGCUGCACGUAAGUGCGGGGUAGGGGAGCGUUGUGUAAGCGGAGAAACAGUAGCGUAAGCGGCUGUGGAGUUUACAGAAGUGAGAAUGCCGGAAUGAGUAGCGCGAAUGUGGUGAGAAUCCACAUGGCCGGAAACCUCAGGUUUUUGGAGGAAGGUUCGUCCGCUCCAAGUUAGGCGGGAGCUAAGGUCAGGCCGAAAGGCGUAGCCGAUGCACAGACGGUAGAGAUUCCGUCCCCACCGAAAGAUUUAAGCACAGGGACACUUUUUGAAGGUCGGAGCCAGGUGUUGGUUCUGGUAGUGAUCGAGGGAAAUAUAGUACCGAAGUCCGGCUGGAAGAGAGGCGAGAAAAGCUGUGUGUAUAUCUAAGGUGCCCGUACCGCAAACCGACACAGGUAGGUAGGAAGAAGAUUCUAAGGCCAACGGGAGAAGGGUUGUUAAGGAACUCGGCAAGUUGACCCCGUAACUUCGGAAUAAGGGGUGCUCACGAGAGUGAGCCGCAGAGAAUAGGCCCAGGCAACUGUUUACCAAAAACACAGGUUUGUGCUAAAUCGAAAGAUGACGUAUACGAGCUGACGCCUGCCCGGUGCUGGAAGGUUAAGAGGAGAUGUGCAAGCAUUGAAUCGAAGCCCCAGUGAACGGCGGCCGUAACUAUAACGGUCCUAAGGUAGCGAAAUUCCUUGUCAGGUAAGUUCUGACCCGCAUGAAAGGCGUAAUGAUUUGGGCACUGUCUCAACAGCCCGCCCGGCGAAAUUGUAGUACCGGUGAAGAUGCCGGUUACCCGCGACAAGACGGAAAGACCCCAUGGAGCUUUACUGUAGCCUGAUAUUGGGUUUCGGUGUUGCAUGCACAGGAUAGAUGGGACGCUGGGAAAGAAGCGCUUUGGCGUUUCUGGAGCGGACGUUGGGAUACCAUCCUUGCGACAUUGGAAUUCUAACCUGCGCCUCUGAAUCGAGGCGGGGGACAUUGUCAGGUGGGCAGUUUGACUGGGGCGGUCGCCUCCUAAAAAGUAGCGGAGGCGUUCAAAGGUUCGUUCGAUCUGGACGGAAACCAGAUGAUUGAGUGCAAACGCAUAAACGAGCCUGACUGCGAGACUGACGGGUCGAGCAGAGACGAAAGUCGGAGUUAGUGAUCCGGUGGUAUGUGAGUGGAAAUGCCAUCGCUCAACGGAUAAAAGUUACCCUGGGGAUAACAGGCUGAUCUCCCCCAAGAGUCCACAUCGACGGGGAGGUUUGGCACCUCGAUGUCGGCUCAUCGCAUCCUGGGGCUGUAUUCGGUCCCAAGGGUUUGGCUGUUCGCCAAUUAAAGCGGUACGCGAGCUGGGUUCAGAACGUCGUGAGACAGUUCGGUCCCUAUCUGUCGUGGGCGCAGGAUAUUUGAAAGGCGCUGUCCCUAGUACGAGAGGACCGGGAUGGACGAACCUCUGGUGCACCAGUUGUCACGCCAGUGGCACAGCUGGGCAGCUAUGUUCGGAUCGGAUAAACGCUGAAAGCAUCUAAGCGUGAAGCCGGCCUUAAGAUAAGAUAUCCCACUGAGUCAAUCAGGUAAGACCCCUUGAAGACUACAAGGUUGAUAGGCACACAGUGUAAGCGGAGUGAUCCGUUCAGCUAGCGUGUACUAAUAGGUCGAGGGCUUGACCCC
Molecule: ribosomal RNA, 2013 nt
Filed under: metagenome
Description: bacterial LSU rRNA
Rfam family: Bacterial large subunit ribosomal RNA
Source: RNAcentral